GACGAACGCUGGCGGCGUGGAUUAGGCAUGCAAGUCGAACGGUAUCAUCCUUUCGGGGGUGAGAGAGUGGCGAACUGGUGAGUAACACGUAGGUUAUCUACCCUCAAGACGGGGACAACCCAGGGAAACUUGGGCUAAUACCGGAUGUGAGCAACUUUUUAGUUGUUUGAAAGGUGGCGUAAGCUGUCGCUUGGGGAUGAGCCUGCGUCCUAUUAGUUAGUUGGUGAGGUAACGGCUCACCUAGGCAAUGAUAGGUAGGCGGCCUUAACGGGUGUCGCCCACACUGGGAUUGAGAUACGGCCCAGACUCCUACGGGAGGCAGCAGUCGAGAAUAGUCUACAAUGGUCGGAAGACUGAUAGUGCGACGCCGCGUGAACGAUGAAUCCCUUCGGGGUGUAAAGUUCUUUUAUAUGUGAGCAGUGCUUCUUAUAUUAACAGUAUGGGGAGAGAGAUAUUAGCAUAUGAAUAAGCAACGGCUAACUCCGUGCCAGCAGCCGCGGUAAGCU
Molecule: ribosomal RNA, 506 nt
Filed under: uncultured bacterium
Lineage: Bacteria
Description: bacterial SSU rRNA
Rfam family: Bacterial small subunit ribosomal RNA
Source: RNAcentral